This 428-nucleotide ribosomal RNA is filed under the name uncultured Kofleriaceae bacterium. RNAcentral's name for it is "bacterial SSU rRNA". It matches the Rfam family "Bacterial small subunit ribosomal RNA", at positions 355 to 776 of the family's 1533-position model. Lineage: Bacteria; Pseudomonadati; Myxococcota; Haliangiales; Kofleriaceae. The record is from RNAcentral.
UGGGGAAUAUUGGACAAUGGGCGCAAGCCUGAUCCAGCCACGCCGCGUGAGUGAUGAAGGCCUUCGGGUCGUAAAGCUCUGUGGGGAGGGACGAACCGCCGUUGGUGCAUAGCCAACGGCAUGACGGUACCUCCUUAGCAAGCACCGGCUAACUUCGUGCCAGCAGCCGCGGUAAUACGAAGGGUGCAAACGUUGCUCGGAAUUAUUGGGCGUAAAGCGCACGUAGGCGGCUUUGCAAGUCGGAUGUGAAAUCCCUCGGCUUAACCAAGGAAGUGCAUCCGAAACUGCAGAGCUUGAGUACUUAAGAGGAUCGCGGAAUUCCCGGUGUAGAGGUGAAAUUCGUAGAUAUCGGGAGGAACACCAGUGGCGAAGGCGGCGAUCUGGGAAGAUACUGACGCUGAGGUGCGAAAGCGUGGGGAGCAAACAGG